RNAcentral lists this ribosomal RNA (540 nucleotides) under uncultured bacterium. RNAcentral describes it as "bacterial SSU rRNA". It matches the Rfam family "Bacterial small subunit ribosomal RNA", at positions 777 to 1314 of the family's 1533-position model. The record is from RNAcentral.
AAUAGAUACCCGGGUAGUCCACGCCGUAAACGAUGGAUGCUAGCUGUUAGGAGUAUCGACCCUUCUAGUAGCGAAGCUAACGCGUUAAGCAUCCCGCCUGGGGAGUACGGUCGCAAGAUUAAAACUCAAAGGAAUUGACGGGGACCCGCACAAGUGGUGGAGCGUGUUCUUUAAUUCGAUGUUAAGCGAAGAACCUUACCAGGACUUGACAUCCUUGGAAUCUUUGGGAAACCAGAGAGUGCCUUUUGGAGCCAAGUGACAGGUGGUGCAUGGUUGUCGUCAGCUCGUGUCGUGAGAUGUUGGGUUAAGUCCCGCAACGAGCGCAACCCUUGUCCUUAGUUGCCAGCAUUCAGUUGGGCACUCUAAGGAGACUGCCGGCUAAAAGUCGGAGGAAGGUGGGGAUGACGUCAAAUCAUCAUGCCCCUUAUGACCUGGGCUACACACGUGCUACAAUGGGCGGUACAGAGGGUCGCGAACCCGGCGAGGGGGAGCCCAAUCCCAAAAAACCGGCUCUCAGUUCGGAUUGCAGGCUGCAACUCG